GGCCGCCCCGGGGCCGCGCCCUGAGGCCGCGGCGGCGGCGAACUUUGCUCCGAGCGGCAACGCAGCGGCCGGCGAAGCCGACGCGCCGCGACCGCGCCGGGAGGAUAACGGCGACUUGGGGACGGGGACGGCGCCUGACGCCACGGCGAGCGCCGGCGGCGGCACGAGCGGCGGAGGAGCCCUGCUGCACGCCUCCCUGUGUAACGCGCGUUGCCAGAUGCGGAUUUGUGCUGCUUCUUUCACAGCCAUGCACUCGCUGCUACUUUCCCGGUCCAAGCACGGAAAUGUGAAGCAUGCUGCUUUCCGACAUGAUGGAUUUUCAUUUCAAUAUCGGUUUACAUUUUCCACAAUACUCGGUAACAGGCAGAAGGUACACUUACACAUCAUUCAGAAUACUGGCAAGACUGACAAUUUAAAGUGCAUGAUAAAAGAACUUUAAAUAAACCCAAAAUUUCUCACUGGCGUUCCCUUAAGAGUUGCUGUCUAUACAACGGUAAUAUUUUACAUUUAUGUUGCAACUUUCAUACAAAAAGAGCUCUAAGAACUUUGAUGAUGAUAUUGCUGAUGGUGAAUAGGAUAAUAGUCCAUUUGACAGAUUUCCUGUGCAAUGGUGUAGAAGCCGUCAUGCUAUAGGAAUAAUGUUCCACUGCAUUUCUGAAGUUUCAAAAUCUACUCCACUAAUACUGCCAGAGAUCAGGAAGUUUAUGAAAACAAUUUUCAGAUUUUAAAGCUGUUUAAGUACAGCUGAAAACAGUAAAGAGGACAUGGAAUACUGACUGUGACACCAGACUUGUUUCAACAUAGAAGAACACAGAAAAGGAAAGUAAUGCACUUGCUAAUUCACCGUGUAAGGAAAACGCAGCCCUGACCUUACGUUCCUCCUGCCCGGGAAGAACGCGGAUGACAAACCCAAGCGUGUGCAAGUGGCGCCGGAAAACGAGCAAGGCGGGUGCAAGCUGCUGCGGGGCCCCCUGAGGAGCGAGUAGUGCCAGGUAACGCGACGCUCACAGCCCGGCCAGCGGGCCUGACUCAACACACACAUCUGUGUCUUACAGAAAAGAGUAACUUUGCAAGGUAGAAAGGAUCCGAAUGUGGCAGAAACGCAUACACAAACACUGAGAACAGGUAUCUAACACAUCAGUCACAGUGUAUGCAAGUGUAUACUGGAACUGUAUAAUGUAUGGUCUGUAAAAGCUUCAACUAAAAGCCCUGAGAUGCUAGGGAUCCCAGGCUGACAGGAGAUGAUCUCAGAACCACCAAGGACUUCAAGUUCUGUAUAUAACUGGUUAUUUUGGCCAUCACAUUGUUGCCACUAACUACUAAUGUAGACACACAGCUUUAAAAUGUAAGACUGAAAUAGGAAAUGUUGUCUCUGCUUUAAGACCCAGGUAAUAGAGUAAAUGAAAUGAGUAAAGAAGGCUGAGAAAUAUAGGCAGAAAAGUGAGGGGAGCAUGUUAACUUCUGGAAGUGUGAAAAAAACAUGUAGUUUCUAUCAAGCCAAAGUCUGACCAAAUUAUCUUUUCUUCUCAUUUAUUUGUUGCAUUUCAUUUAUUUACAUAAUUACUAUUUAGUUUUGCUAACUUUUUUAUUGCAUUGAAUAUCUCUUCAUCCCAGCAUCAUGAGGUAGUAGCUGUAGUCAGGAGGACACUGCCUGUCAGCAGCAUGGCAGCCUUUGUUGUAAUUACAGCUAUGGAUAAAAAUAAAAACU
Long non-coding RNA from Rhea pennata, 1708 nucleotides. RefSeq lists it as uncharacterized. The record is from RefSeq and is a predicted model, not a curated record. NCBI's taxonomy places the organism in Eukaryota, Metazoa, Chordata, Aves, Rheiformes, Rheidae. The transcript is spliced from 3 exons.